Molecule: ribosomal RNA, 496 nt
Filed under: uncultured bacterium
Lineage: Bacteria
Description: partial 16S ribosomal RNA
Rfam family: Bacterial small subunit ribosomal RNA
Source: RNAcentral
AUGCACGCUGGCGGCGUGCCUCAUCCCUGCCAGUCGAGCGAACAGACGAGGAGCUUGCUCCUCUGACGUUAGCGGCGGACGGGUGAGUAACACGUGGAUAACCUACCUAUAAGACUGGGAUAACUUCGGGAAACCGGAGCUAAUACCGGAUAAUAUAUUGAACCGCAUGGUUCAAUAGUGAAAGACGGUUUUGCUGUCACUUAUAGAUGGAUCCGCGCCGCAUUAGCUAGUUGGUAAGGUAACGGCUUACCAAGGCGACGAUGCGUAGCCGACCUGAGAGGGUGAUCGGCCACACUGGAACUGAGACACGGUCCAGACUCCUACGGGAGACAGCAGUAGGGAAUCUUCCGCAAUGGGCGAAAGCCUGACGGAGCAACGCCGCGUGAGUGAUGAAGGUCUUCGGAUCGUAAAACUCUGUUAUUAGGGAAGAACAAAUGUGUAAGUAACUAUGCACGUCUUGACGGUACCUAAUCAGAAAGCCACGGCUAACUACGUG